RNAcentral lists this ribosomal RNA (253 nucleotides) under uncultured bacterium. RNAcentral's name for it is "partial 16S ribosomal RNA". It matches the Rfam family "Bacterial small subunit ribosomal RNA", at positions 524 to 776 of the family's 1533-position model. The record is from RNAcentral.
UACGUAGGUGACAAGCGUUGUCCGGAUUUACUGGGCGUAAAGAGCGCGCAGGCGGUCGAUCAAGUCGGGUGUGAAAGCCCCCGGCUCAACUGGGGAGGGUCAUUCGAUACUGAUCGACUCGAAGGCAGGAGAGGGUAGUGGAAUUCCCGGUGUAGUGGUGAAAUGCGUAGAUAUCGGGAGGAACACUAGUGGCGAAGGCGACUACCUGGCCUGUUCUUGACGCUGAGGCGCGAAAGCUAGGGGAGCAAACGGG